UUCCUUCUCCUAGACAUUUUUCCCCAAAGAAGCAUUGAGAAAACAUGACUGUGAUGCAUUGCCCCUUCCUCCUUACCCCUUAAUAGAUGCUUGGUCCCAAAGUACCGCCAGAACUACCUGUGGCUCCUGUGACUGCAGUGAUGGUGAGCAGGACAACGGUGUACAUGGUCUUCCUGAUCUCUUCCAAGGCAGCUCUUGCAUGUGUGGAUGAUGCAGGUUUCUUGCACCAUACUGCUUGCUGUGAGAUCCUCAUUGUCCCCUGCCAGUGAUCCUCAGCAGUCAGAGCCACUGCUCUUCCUAGGCUCCUGAAGGUUCCUGACUGCAGCUACAAAUAGGUGGUUCUUCAUAGCACAGAGCUUCUUCCUGUGCUGAGAACUGGUGAACGCAGAGGAAAUGGUAUUGAUGUUUGCUUUCUGUACACUUCUCUUCUCACAGUAGCACCAUGCAAGAAAAUCUAUGGCAGAACUUGCACACAGUAUAAGCAGAGUGAUUUUCAUGCCUGGUUCUGAUCUGAUAGUGAGGAUUUUAUCAAAGA
Molecule: long non-coding RNA, 535 nt
Organism: Oxyura jamaicensis (ruddy duck)
Lineage: Eukaryota; Metazoa; Chordata; Aves; Anseriformes; Anatidae
Exons: 3
Source: RefSeq, a predicted model, not a curated record